Molecule: unclassified non-coding RNA, 737 nt
Filed under: Hevea brasiliensis (rubber tree)
Lineage: Eukaryota; Viridiplantae; Streptophyta; Magnoliopsida; Malpighiales; Euphorbiaceae
Source: RNAcentral
GAGUUUGCAGCAAUUCAGAUGACUGCCUGUGGUGAUUGACCAAUGAUUCACAACAUUGAUCAUAGUUUAUAUUAUGAAUAGGUUCUGUUGAUGAAAACAUUGUUUUGAUAGAGUGGCACUGACUUUUCCUUAUAUUGUAGUUAAUUUUUAGUGUAUGUGUAUGGAAUGAGAAGACUUCCAAACUAAAAUAUGCCAUAUUUAUCUUUUUAGUUAUUAAAGUUUGAGGAGGAGUGGAGAUUAGAAGUUUUUUCUGACUGUUUUCUGACUUUAGAAUAUGCAUAUUAAUAACCAAAACUAUUGGCUAAGGCAUUUAUAGACUAGCUAAUCUUGCAAUCAUCAGGUGGAUUGAUUUAAUAAUAAGAAUGACUGAUGUAUUAUGCAAUAAUAAUUGAAUAAAAAAUGCAAAAUAUAAGUAAAGAACAAAGGGAUUUGUCAUAUAUUUAGCGGAUCAAAUGUAAACAAAGUGACCAACAAGCAUCUGCUGUCUGGUUGCAGAAUGCAUGGAUUUUGGAUCAUGAUCCAAUAAUUCUACAAACCUAUGAAUAUUUUUGCAAGAAGUUUUGAGGGCAAAAUGAUCCAUCUGAACCAAUUUAGAAAAAUUGUUUGUGACUUGUCUAGUUAGUCUCUAAGUUCACUACUUUGGCAUUACAUCUGAACCUCAUUCAUGCUCUCUGUAGUUUUGCUGGUCCAUUUCAAGCUUGAUAAAUUGUUUUGUCAUAUUUUGGCUUCGUCUAUUG